This 497-nucleotide ribosomal RNA is filed under the name uncultured bacterium. Its description in RNAcentral is "partial 16S ribosomal RNA". It matches the Rfam family "Bacterial small subunit ribosomal RNA", at positions 28 to 507 of the family's 1533-position model. The record is from RNAcentral.
GAUGAACGCUGGCGGCGUGCCUAAUACAUGCAAGUCGAGCGAACAGACGAGGCGCUUGCUCCUCUGACGUUAGCGGCGGACGGGUGAGUCACACGUGGAUAACCUACUUAUAAGUCUGGGAUAACUUCGGGAAACCGGAGCUAAUACCGGAUAAUAUAUUGAACCGCAUGGUUCAAUAGUUAAAGACGGUUUUCCUGUCAUGUAUAGAUGGAUUCGCGACGCAUUAGCUAGUUGGUAAGGUAACGGGUUACUAAGGCGACGAUGCGUAGCCGGCCUGAGAGGGUGAUUGGCCGCACUGGAACUGAGACAGGGUCCAGACUCCUACGGAAGGCAGCAGUAGGCAGUCUUACGCAAUGGGCGAAAGCCUGACGGAGCGACGACGCGUGGGUGAUGAGGGUCUUCGGGUCGUAAAGCUCUGUUAUUAGGAAAGAACAAAUGUGGAAGAAACUAUGCACGUCUUGACGGUACCUAAUCAAAAAGCCACGGCUAACUACGUG